Molecule: ribosomal RNA, 506 nt
Filed under: uncultured bacterium
Lineage: Bacteria
Description: partial 16S ribosomal RNA
Rfam family: Bacterial small subunit ribosomal RNA
Source: RNAcentral
AUUGAACGCUGGCGGCAUGCUUCACCCAUGCCCGUCUCCCUUCCUCCUUGUCUCGCUUUCUCUACUGCUGGCGAGUGGCGACCGGGUGAGUAACGCGUCGGCAUCUACCUUAGAGAGGGGGAUAACAUGGGGAAACUCAUGCUCAUACCGCAUACGUUCUAUGGAAUAAAGCUGGGGACCUUAUGGCCUGGCGCUUUAAGAAUAGCCUGCGUCCGAUUAGCUAGUUGGUAGGGUAAAGGCCUACCAAGGCGACGAUCGGUAGCUGGUCUGAGAGGAUGAUCAGCCACACUGGGACUGGGACACGGCCCAGACUCCUACGGGAGGCAGCAGUGGGGAAUAUUGGACAAUGGGGGGAACCCUGAUCCAGCAAUGCCGCGUGUGUGAAGAAGGCCUGAGGGUUGUAAAGCACUUUCAGUGGGGAGGAGGAUUGACGGGUUAAGAGCUAGUUAAUUGGACGUUACCCACAGAAGAAGCACCGGCUAACUCCGUGCCAGCCGCCGCCGUAA